AUUUAUAUAGGUUAAAAAUAAACCAUUAUAUUUUCAAUAUAAAAAUAAUAAUAAAAUUAUUUUAUUUAUAAAUA
This 74-nucleotide transfer RNA is filed under the name Gasteruption tournieri. RNAcentral's name for it is "tRNA-Glu". The record is from RNAcentral. Lineage: Eukaryota; Metazoa; Arthropoda; Insecta; Hymenoptera; Gasteruptiidae.